GUCAGCUCCACGCUCAUACAUCCAUGCCCUGCUGUCGAGCCUGACAGCCGUCUAUUGUUCAUUCACUGCUUCCACCUCGCCACUUAAUAUUAUUGCGAUAAGGAAACUCUAGUGUCACGACCCACUGGCGUCUGGCUAAUCCGAUGGUAUUCGUCGCUGCAUUGUCCGUGAUCAAUAACUAAUUAUCAAAGUGGCAUUUCUUUUCAAGAGCUCCUUGUUAAAAAAUGGCUUUUGGCUGAGACUAGAGGAAAAAGGUCGCCACUUUGACAUCGUUGCAAGUCUUUCAAAAUCCAGUGGGCCGUCCAAUUGAAUUACUGUCCCAAACUAAUUGAUAUAAAUUUGAACAGAAGAAUGCUUGUUACUACAGAAUGUCAUAAUGAUAUCCUUGGCAAGAGCAUGUCAGUGAGAAAAAAGAGAAAAGACCAGCAUUGGUCACAAAGCAUCUAGACAAGUUGCAGCAGAAGACUGUUAACGAAAGUAAGAGGAAUAAAAUUGUACAUCAGUUCCUUCUUCUCAGUAAGUUUGGUCAGACAUUCAAGAAAGAAAAGCAUUAACAUCUGCUUUUUGUAACAUUUUGCAUUUGAAAUCAGACUUUAUAAAACCUGCUGGAAGAAAGAAAUAACUGCAGUAUACUAAGGACUGAAAACCUGAUGAUCAGUUGCAGAAGUCUCAUUGACUCUACCAGGGUCUUGAGUGAGUGUCUGUUGGAAUUUAGCUUUAGUCGUAAGGCAGAACUUGGCAGACAGUUUCCUUAAACAGCCUUAAAAUAUGACCUUCUUCAAAGCAAACUGGAUUGUAUGUAAAUAAGUCACAUGACUUUGAAAUAGAAAAAGAACACAGGCACUUAAAAUACAGGACGUGCAGUCAUAAAAAUGUGGUGAAAAAAGUGAUGAGAGAAAGAUUUCAUACUAUUCAUGCCUGAGAUUUGAUGUACUGCCUUACAUGGCUUUUGGAGACUGCUGCAGAACCUUGGAACCCUUUUGAUUGUUCAUUGCAUGACAACAGGGCUUGUGAUGUUUCUGGUUUUGUUUAUGUUUUCUAGACCUAACUACCUUCACCUCUGUGUCAUACACUCUGUCUCUGAGCUGGGAAUUGCAAAGGAGGAGCACAGGCAAAGUUGCACACAUGUGGACUGAUGCCAGUGGAACCAGUGGAAUGUUCCAGAUACACAUUCACUGUGUAACUACCCACUGACCGAGGAGAGACCAGGAAAUGAGUGGAAACUUAAAAUAAAUAAUAAAUUCAACUUGUCCAGUACCCACACCAGACCUUCACAACACUCUGUUAUUCUAUUCAUUCUUCAAAAGGAGAAACUGUGGCUGACAGAGAUGGCCAUCCUUCCCUUGGAGACUUCAAGAAGAUGUGGUCCCCAGAAAUGUAGCUGCAUUUGCUGCUGUGGAAACACGUCAUGGCUUCCCUUACCUUUGCAAUAUAAGGAGCUUUUGGCUGCACAUGAAGGCAGAAGUUUUGGCUUCUCAGAACUUAAGAAUAUUAAGGUCCUGCAAGUAGAACACCCCACAGAACUUAAGAAUAUUAAGGUCCUGCAAGUAGAACACCCCAGAUUUCGUCACUGCUGAAAUCCAUUGUCUACAGAAGAUUGUGGACACAGCAAAAGAUGAGUUUCCCAGGCUCUGGAGAUGCAGGAUGUGGUGUUUGGUAAUACUGAGCUGUUUCGUGAUUUUUGAUGUGAAACUACAAGCAAGAGUUCUUAAAUAUUAAGAUUAUUUGAAUCUCUACAACUCAGCGCUUUGUCAGGAAAUGCCAACACUGCAUGUUGAAGUGGCACUGGAAGGUGAGAGGCACUUUCCAGGAUGAAAUUCCUAAACAUUAUUUAUUCCAAGUUGGCAUUUGGUGGUCACAUGCUUCUGCUUGCUAAAAUAGCUAACCAUCAAAACAUAGUUACUGUCUUGAACAAGAAAAUGGCCGCUACGCCAUUUGCUUCUGAUAAGAAGAUGACUACUCAGUAUGUGCUGUCUAAUUAUGGGUGGCAAUUAUAAAACUUUAUGUGCACCUGACCUAGUACAGUUUUGGAGAACAGGUGAUUUUUCAGUUUUGUUUCUGUUUUCAUUAAUUUCUAUUUAUAUUAUCUGAGAAAAAUCUUAUGUUCUAUGAAUAUAUAUAUAUUUAGACAUUAAGUGUAAAAUAUCUUCAUCUACUAUCUUGAUAUAGAAUGCAAUGAAUUUCUGUAAAAGGGAGUAAUGAAGAACGUGUGUUACUUUUCCUUGGAAAGCUCUAUUAAGAGUUAUAAGCUUUACUACAUAAACUUAAUCUCAUGGACACCUUGUGAAUAAUUCUCCGUGGACUAGUUCCUUCUGGAUUCUUGCUUUUAUUUCCAGUAGUCAAAGUAUUAAUAGGGUUAAAGGUGCUGGCAUGGUGAAUUUAUUGUUGACAUCUCACAGUCCGUUAAAGCAAGAUCACUAAUGGCUGACCUUGAGGCUCGACCAUUCCAGACUCUGGAAGAUCAAGUCUCAGACCCCUCCUGCAAGUGCUCUGACCUCUCCAUUCUUCCCCUUUAUGGCCUAACCUUUAACUCACUGAUCUUUGACCAAAUUAUUAAGCAAACACCUGCUUAGGUCUCUGACCAAGGACUGUAGACCAGAAGAGCCACCAUAAUUUCAUGUGAAUUAGCUUUAAUAAUAGCAAUACCAGCCUAAGGAGAAAAUCAGAGGGUAGGUUUACAGUAAAUAAUCAUGCUGCUGAAGAGCACACACAGAACGGACCCUUCAGCAGCUCUUACCUACAGUAAAUCAAUGCUAAUCUAUUUGACUGUGAUAAUAAAGGCUCGUCAGCAGAUAUAGUUUCUUUAUAUGACUUGACUAGGACAAUGACUAGGUAAAAUUUAUUUCCUUUUACUAAAGCAAGACAAAGAUUAAAAUUAAUCCUUUGAUGCCAGGGAUUUCCCGUUUGUAAUAAUGCACAUACUGCAUUAGUGUUCAACACAGUUACUAAGAGGAACUGUAACAGAAAUAAAGGCUGCAAAAAUCUCUGAUGAUUUCAAAUGUUAAGCCUGUGUAAUUUUAUCUGAAUUACACAUGGAAUAAGUGGUUUGAUUUUCCCCAGAUUUUGUGCAUUUCUUGGUCUUUUUCAGUCCAUGCUGAAUGAUUUUAUAAAUCUGCAUCAUCUGCUACUCAAACUUGAGUUGCUCUAGCAUAUGUGAUUCUGUGAUUUUUUUAGUCUUUAAUUACAAGAAACAGUAGAAUCUGAGUUAUAUAAUAUAUCAGACUACAUCAGUAUAGUUUACUAAGUAGAUAUUUUUAAUUUAUUAGAACAAAGUUAUGAACGCUUGCUUUCUCAUAGCUGAUUUUCUCUGAUAGUAGCAAUGUGUGCAUGCAGUAGCUUCAUGUGUAUGUCUGUGGAGGCAUUCUACACCAGCAAGAGAGGCACUGGCAAGUGUAAGUGUUAUGGUGCUAUGCAAAAUCUAUCUUUUAAAUCUAGCCUUUGAAAAGGAUUACGAAGAUAGUUUAUUGUUAUAAGGAAUAGCUUUCAACCUCACUGCUGCUAAUAAGAGAGGGUAAUUAGAUAAAUUGGAUGAGGUUUGGCUAUAAUAUUAAGAACAGCUGAGGUGCCACUGCUUGAAGUUAGUGCAUGCCACAUGACAAAAAACACUGAAUAUGUACAUCUCCAAAUACAUGAAUCAAUUAUGUGUUACCAACUUUAAAAGCCAGUGUUAGUACCAAUCUGCAGUCCAUUGGAGUUUAUCUUUCAUUUUACUGACUUAUGUGCAGUUGUAUCAGGUCUAUAUUUUCUCAUGUAUAUAAAAUGAAUACAGAAAAACUCCACUCUGUUAAUUUUGAAUGUGCACUUACAUGCUUUUUACAAUAUGAAGAUGAAAAUAUCCCUGAUAUAAAUAAUGCUUUCAAAAUUAAAUGGUAGCAAUAUUGUAACAAUAUAAAUUAAAUGGUAUUUAUUUUCUGUUCACUUGAAUGGUUCUUUUAACAUUGCUCUGUGCUCUUUUGAUCUCUUUUCCAGGAUAUUGGCUGUCCUUCCUGAAGAUAUAGUUAUAUUUUCAUUAGUAGAAUAAAGUCUAGCUAACAAUGUUGUGAAUGAAAUUAAGGGCAACUUAAUAUAAACUGUGUUCCCAUCUGAUGGCUGUAAAACAAUAUUAAAUGUUUAUUUGAUCAAUACACACUGUUUCCCAUGUACAAUAUUGUUCAGAUGGAAUUUCCAAGUUUAAACUGAUUUACAUAGAUUAUUAUUUUCCAUUCCCUGACUUGAUUACUUGUAAACUUAAACCUGGUUCAGCUGGCUAGAUAAUGUCAUCAGCUAUGUGCAUUUAUAUACUUCAAAACCCUGUAUAGAGGUUUUUGCACUCAGAAAAAGCUUCCAAAAUCUUUACUGGGGGUCUAGAAAAAUGUUACUUGGACAACUGGGAGAGUACUGCACGGAAUCUGCAUUGGCUGGUACACUACAUCCUUAUGCAAAGUUGGUGGCUUCUUUUCUGAAUUAAGAGACGGAAUGACAUGGUGAGGUAUUGGUUUGAGAGAGGAGGUAAGUUAAAAGAUAAUCAAUAACAAUAAAAGUUACAAAGCAAAGACUGUAAACAGUAAAUGGAUUUUAAAAUGAUGUCUAUUUGAAUGCUCUCGCUUUACACAGCCAUUAAUUAGUGAAACACAAGUCUAGGUGACUACAACACAACAGAGAUGUUCAGUUAAAUGCAUUUCCUACCUCUUUUCCUAUCUGUCAAUAUAAAAGGUCAAUUUUUGCCCAGAUUUACACAAAUGCAUCAUCACUGAACUCAUUUGCUGCCCUGAGUCAUACCAGGCAUUUCCAAAGAUAAUGAAUUUUUCUGUUUCAUGAAAAAAUACAGAUAGGCAAGACCUUGAUUGAAAGCCCAUUAGAAUCAGUGCAAGUCUUACCUUUGACUACAGUGAGCUUUUAAUCAAACCUUGUAUAGUUGUGAAAUAUCCAUAAGGUAUGGAUCACAUCAAUCUAUACUGUGAUACAUUAAUAUUUUAUUAAUAUAAUACAAGUUCACAUUUUUUGUUGUAUGUUUAGCAGGAAAUGAUGUUAAAAGUGCUAAAGAUGGAUCAAGUUUGGGUCAUAGUCAUAUUGGAAGUCAUACAAAUAUGAAGAAAAUGUAAUUAUAUAAAGCUUUAGCAUAUUAUAGCAUUUUUUUCAUAAUUGGUGGCAACCUCUCCUUGUUUAGAAAUAAGGGGUAAUUUAACAAUAUAAAUAUCAAUUAAGUUAUGACAAUAUAUGAGAUCAUGACUCAUUUUUAAUAUAGAUGUGGAGAAAUUUUACUGCCAUGCAGUUUCAAUUCUUGGCUGCUUAUAUCCUACUGAUUCACCAAGCAGUUAAAUAAUAAUACCUUUUGGUGUGUGUAUGUAUGUUGGGGAAGGUGUUAAAUAAAGGUUUUUUUACAAUAACAUAAGAAAACAAAUUUGUUUUUCCCUUUGUUCAUAGCUGCUCCUAGUGGUUAAAAUUUGCAUUCUUUUGACUGUAAGCUUAGAAAACAUUUUAAAUGUAGCAUUAUAGAGCAAGGAAAUAUAAUGUGAUUUUAUUUGAUGAAUGAACUAAGUUGUGUUUAUUGAUUAUUCAAGGAAAGAAUUAUUUUAAAAUAUCAUUUCAGGUAACGUCAAAGGCAAAGAAAGUGCUCUGGCAUAUGUAAGAUGAAAAAAAAAAAGAGGGUAUUCCUGAAAGAAGAAUGCACAUCAGUCAAAGGCAUCAAUAAAUAAAGCUCUUUUUCAUAUGUAAAUGGGAAUUUAUAAAGUAAAGAAGGAGCAUCUUCUCUGCAUGAAAUUAGUGAGCCAGAGUCAAGGGCAGAAAAAAAACAGAGACAGACAGACUUCCUCAACUUAUACACCCCACAGGGACCAGCUGACGUUGAAAAAGCAAAGAAGUGAGCCAUUAAAGUACGGUUUGGGAUUGACACUGACCUAGGCCUGCCAUCCAGCAUUGUCCUGCCAUCUGCACAGACAUGAACUUUGCCUCUAAAAUUUGGCUUCUCAAUUAACAUGUCCAGCUGGGGGGAGAAUUCCGUCAUUUGCCUAAUAUCAUUAUUGCCACUGCUCUGACAUAUUAAUAUUAAAAAUAUAUGUGAACAGAUCAAGGAUUUGCCUAAGCACUUCUCUUUUUAUUUCACAUAAUAGUUAGGAGGUGAAAGA
This is a non-coding RNA of Meleagris gallopavo (turkey), 6104 nucleotides long. Lineage: Eukaryota; Metazoa; Chordata; Aves; Galliformes; Phasianidae. The record is from RefSeq and is a predicted model, not a curated record.